Molecule: RNA transcript, 5678 nt
Organism: Asparagus officinalis (garden asparagus)
Lineage: Eukaryota; Viridiplantae; Streptophyta; Magnoliopsida; Asparagales; Asparagaceae
Exons: 7
Source: RefSeq, a predicted model, not a curated record
UUUUGAUUUAAUGUUCUCAUACAAGCUGGUUGAUGCUUUGGGUUAUUUCAAAAGAUUUUGCUUAUUUUUUCAAUAAUAACUGCUUUCUUUUAAUUUCAUAAAGUUCGAAUAAACCCUAAUUUUCUGGAGACGAACCUAAUAUUUCCUCCAGCAAGAAUCAUAUCCAUUCACAUUUUCUUUAUUAUUGUUAUUAUUAUGAAAUGACUCUAAAGUUUUACUAGAUUUAUGUGUCGGCAGUUGGAUUAAAUGUUACAUUGAUUUAAUUAAGCUGAUUUCAGGUACUCAUAUGAAAAUAUUAGGUUUUAUAUCUUUGAUUAGUCUUUGUGUUGAUAUAUGGUCCUUUCAGCUCUAUUGCUGAUCAUGUUGAUGCUUUCAUUAUAAUAAAAGAUUUUGCCAAUUAUUGUUAUAAUUAUCAUCUUCCUUUGAUUUUAUCUAGGUGCCUUGAACUUUAGGAGGCUCUGAUAAGCCAUCAAGUAAUUACUAGUCAAGGAAUACAAGAGUGAGUUUUCAUGAGAAACUGAGCCUUUAACUCUAGGUGGUUCUAGUAAUUUAUCAAGUAAUUAAUAGCCAAACGAUUCGAGAGUGACUUUUCAUGUAAACAUUGAGCCUCAAUCCAGAAAUCAGCAAACUGUUAUUGGUUUUUACAAAAUUUAGGUUUUUUUUAUUCUCGCAAAUGCCCUUUGUUCUUUCUCAUGUUUCCACCUGUCUAGAUUCUUGGUUUAAUUUUUGUUUUGUCUUUAGUUUAAUCUUCUAACUGUAAGUUUGCAUCUUCAUCAUUUUUGGGUAAAAACAAUGCCGUGCUCUUUGAAGAUACCAUUCGUUAGGGUUUUCAGUCUCCCUUAUUUAAGGUAGUUUUCGGUGUUAUCAUGUCACAUUGUGAGCUCUAGUUAUUUACGUCUCAAUUAAAUUAGUUUAUCUUCACAUAAUACUUGCCUUUUCAGACUUCGUCACAGUGCACGCCUUGAAGUUUCUUCUUGGAUAGUUCUUACCUGGAAAUUUUUUGUUAGAUCUCUUGAUAACUUUGAGAGGUAAAAUUUCCAGUUUACUUUACAUCUUUUAUACCUUCAGUAUUUCCAUUGUCUUAGUUUGAAAAGGUAACCCUAUUGUUUUUAUCUAUAAGAGAUCACUAGUUUCAGGCCCGUGCGAUGCACGGAUUUGUUUAAUAUAUAAAAAUUAAUGUAGCAAAAGAAUGCAAAGUAAAAUAGUAAUAAUAUAUAAGUAGUCAGAAAUGAUACAACCUAAGUUGCAUAUAUACUUUGAAAAAUUAGAAAGUCUGGAAAACUUGAAUCAGUUUAAGAUCAUAUAUAGUUUGAAAAAUGUAAUUGUGUAAAAACGGUAUUCAGAAAUAUGGUGAGAGUUAUUUUAUUAUUUAGAAGGUAGAAAAAAAUUCAAAAUUAAAGUAAAAUGUUAAAAAAGUACCAAAAAUGGGUAAACUUAAAAAAAUUGAAAAAAAUGAAAGGUUUGGAAAAAAUGUAAAUAUGGGAAAAUAAUAUUUGAACAUUUUUUGCGAGUCAUAUCAAUAUUUAAACCGUUAUAACUUUCCAAAUAAAUUGGUAAAAUAAAAGUGUAAUGUCAAAAAACAAAGAAAAUAUAAUACCUAUCAUAUAAGGGGUGUAUGACAUCCACCUGACGAAAAUAAGAGACAAUGUAAUACCUAAAUCAAAUAAAGUCUGUGUAAAAAAAUUGUAUAUGAUUGCAAUUUAAGAACAUCAUCAAACCAUAAGAAUACGGCAUAAGAAGUACUCAAUUAGUUAAAUAAAAUAUAACUUUCACAUUCUCUAUAUAAACAUAAGAAAGAACAAAAAUAUUGAAGUGAAAUGCAUUGCCAUUGGAGAAAAAUAACAAAACAUAAUAUAAGAGAAAUACAUUCUAGUAAGAUUAUAUUGAGUUCAUCACUUACCAAUAGUAAAGAUAAACAAAGAAACAAACUGAUCUGAAACAGAAAAAAUAUAAUUAUAUAGAAAGAAAAGAAAAAUACACUUGUAUUCAAUAAGAUACAUGAAUUAAAAAAAUAACAUUUUAGUUUGUCAAACAUGCACACAAGCAUGCACCACUACAUACACAUAUAUUACAGGAUACGCUCAGAUAGAGCUAACAAAUUUAUCCAAAACUUAAAAUCACAUUAGAAUAAUUUCAUGCUAUGAAUUAGCCGAAAAGGGAAAAUUUUCCAGCGUGAGGUGAGUGAAAUAAUUAGAGGUGAAGAAAUAAAAAGGGGUGAGGAGGCGGGUGAAAGGCUAAUAUGGGUAUUUGUCAUUUUUGCCAUGUGUCAUUUUUGCCAGGUGGCGUUUUCAAGGGUAUGUGUCAUUUUUUGCCAAGUGGCGUUUUCAAGGGUAAGAGUUUUUAGUAAUAGAUAUAGACAAGUGGUGUUUUCAAGGGUAAGAGUUUUUAGUAAUAGAUAUAGAAAAUGCAUUGCCAUUGGAGAAAAAUAACAAAACAUAAUAUAAGAGUAAUACAUUCUAGUAAGAUUAUAUUGAGUUCAUCACUUACCAAUAGUAAAGAUAAAUAAAGAAACAAACAGAUCUGAAACAGAAAAAUAUAAUUAUAUAGAAAGAAAAGAAAAUUACACUUGUAUUCAAUAAGAUACAUGAAUUAAAAAAAUAAAAAGUUAGUUUGUCAAACAUGCACACAAGCAUGCAUCACUACAUACACAUAUAUUACAGGACACGCUCAGAUAGAGCUAACAAAUUUAUCCAAAACUUAAAAUCACAUUAGAAUAAUUUUAUGUUAUGUAGCCGAAAGGGGAAAAUUUUCCAGUGUGAUGUGUGAAAUAAUUAGAGGUGAAGAAAUAAAAAAGGGUGAGGAGGUGGGUGAAAGGGGAUGUGGGUGAAAGGCUAAUAUGGGUAUGUGUUAUUUUUGCCGUGUGUCAUUUUUGCCAGGUGGCGUUUUCAAGGGUAUGUGACAUUUUUGCCAAGUGCCGUUUUCAAAGGUAAGAGUUUUUAAUAAUAGAUAUAGAUGUGUCAUUUUUGCCAGGUGGCGUUUUCAAGGGUAUGUGACAUUUUUGCCAAGUGGCGUUUUCAAAGGUAAGAGUUUUUAAUAAUAGAUAUAGAUUUCUCAAACUGUCAUAUGAGAGUACAUACAUCUAUUAUGCAUGAAAAGUUUUGCUAUCAUCGGCACCAGUGGUCUAGUGGUAGAAUAGUACCCUGCCACGGUACAGACCCGGGUUUGAUUCCUGGCUGGUGCAAUUCAAUUUUUUCUUCUGAAAUUAAAAAUUUCAGGUAAUAAUUUCUAAAAUUGCUUUAUCUUAUCUUGCAUUUUAUUCCCUGCUGUGCUUACCUUUGUAAAGCAGCAAUAUAUCUUUCACCUUAAUCCGCAUUAAAUUCUCAACAAGUAUUUUGUCUUUUUUAUUUGCAAAACAAUGCCCUACUACAUUAGUGGCAGUACCACCUCAAAUUUGAGUUCCCUUAUUUGUUCUUCUCCUUAUUAGUUGUACCCACAGCUGAUUUCAUUGAGACUCUUUGGCAAGCACUUGAGUACUGGUGCCUUUCAGUCUUCUUUACCAUGGAUUUUCUGCUCAUCAAGAAACGGAUUUUAUCCCAAUCUGGAUACACCAUUAAGAGUGCACUGGUGAGCAGUGCAGAGACUCAAGCUGCACUUGUAAUUUAAAUGAUAAAGAGGUUAGAAACAUAUUGACUAGUUACUGCUUAGUAUAACCUAAAUAAGUAAAUUUCAUAAUGCAAUUUGUGACAGGGCUUCCUUGUGGUGUUGGUAGCCUAGUUUUUCUCAAAAAAACAUACACCAGCUGCGGUAGUUUUUUGCCUCCAAAAACAAGUGCAUCUGCAGUCUCCCAACCUACCGAAGACUGUUUGGCAUAUUUCUGAACCCUUCAUGCAUGUUACUAUUAAGUUUUGUUCCCUGCUAUCAAAAUGAUUGCUUGAUCCUAGCAUGAAAUGGAAACAGGAGACAAUAUAAUUAUAUUCUUAUUGUAUGUUUAUUAACAGGCUCUUGUGUUUAAUUAGCUUGCAUCAAAGAAGACUAUCUUGUUUAUUGAUCUUUUUGAUGAAUUUCAUCAAAUCUUUGUGGUAACUGGACACCAAAAAGCUUCUUUCGAACUGAGGGUCCAUCAGGAAACAUGUGGUGAUCAACUUCUUGAUUCAACAUGAAGGUGCUUUGAUGAGCACUGUAGAGAUUAAAACCUGCAUCAGUUGUAGAUCCUAAAGAUAAUAGGUUGCGUCUCUUGAGAGACAUGCAUAGACCUGCCAAGAUGUUGAAGUCCUUUGCCUUCAACAUCGAGUGUGCCUGCGCUCCCCAAAUGUAUCUGCAAGAUGUUAGGGAUAUUUCUGAAGCCUCGGUCCAUAUCUAGUUGUAAGUUUUGAUGCUAUCAAUUUAGAUCGCCAUCGAAAGCAACUGCGCAUAGAAGAAUCUGUAGUACAAGGACCUCACCUUCGUGGCCCUUGUGUCAAUGUUAUACUUGUAGAUGGCACCCACCUUCUUGUAAACUCUGCGAGAUGAUAUCAAACAGGAGAACCGAUGCACCGUCAUCUGCAGCUUCUGUGCCCACAGAAUAAGAUUCUGGAGGAACAAUGUUGUUAGGAGCUACCUUCUGUGUCUGUGUAUCUUUAGCUUUCUUGCAAAUCUUUUAACCUCUGUACAUGUUGAAUGCAGUUGGAUGAUUAUCUUGUCUGCAGGAUAUACCAUUGUCAUGGAGCAAGAGAAGCUGCAUCUUAAGCGGCUAAGGAAAACAACCACUGAAGAAGAGAGCAUGACCUGACUCUGAACAUAUUAUUUUCUUCAGAGGCAAAUCAAGCAACCUGAACCAAGCAAACAAACCACUUACCCUUCUGCAGCUAUGACCUAUCUAUCUUUCUUUGUGUAGCUCUUGUCAUUAACCUCCACAUUCUUUUUCUUCUUUCAAAACCCUUUGGGUCCUUUUUUUUCUCUGUCUUCCUUCUUUGCCUUUGGUUUCCUCUAGCUAUCUUAACAGCUGCAGCUUCAAGAGGGACCAGAACAUGCUAUAUUCAUGCACUUUUGAGCCUUAGGAGGAUAUAGCCAUAGAUGGGCUGGAGGCUUAACCACACCUACUACACCGGUUAUUCUUGCAUCAAAGAAUACCGCAAUCUUCGAAGAGUGUUGCAAUGUUGGUGCUUCUUGUCAUAGUUGUGGCCGAGCUCCAACUAGUGCUGCUGAUGGCAAUAGGAGGUAGCCUGUACUUUCAUUUCGGCAGAGUACUCCUCCUCUGAGAUAAGAUAGAGAAAGGGAGCAUAAUUAUGGCAGGAAGAAAGCUAAAUUGAGUGGACAGAGAUGCAAUGAUUGUUCAAUGUUGAGAUAGGGUAAAUAUCUUGGUGGCCCCUGAGUUUGUCAUAUGGUCAGUGGUGAGUUGUAUCUGCUUAUUAACCGGGAUGAGUCCGAGAUACGACUAGACUUUUUGCUACUUCAGUUUUCAGGUGCACUUGAUGUUGAAGGCAAAGAACUAGCUAGGCUUGCGUGUGUCUCUCGACAGAAGCGACCUGCAUAUCAGAACCACAAGAAAGCUGCAGCCAUGAAUGCAUUGGUGCGCCUUACAGUAUGAGAAUUUGCUUAUUUGGAUUGUACUAACUACUAAGUUGUCCACAUGUUUCUGACCUUUUAUAUUUAGAUUCAUGAUUGCAGGUGCUGUGCUUUGAUGUGAGCUAAUAAAACUCAAGAACUUGUUAACUAAACAUUAUAAAGCUUUUAACUCAAUACUACAGACUUUGAGACUC